Molecule: non-coding RNA, 200 nt
Organism: Oryza meridionalis
Lineage: Eukaryota; Viridiplantae; Streptophyta; Magnoliopsida; Poales; Poaceae
Source: Rfam
CCUCCGUUCAGGCAUAAGUUUUUUUCCAACUUUAACCAUCAGUUUUAUUUAUUUUUUUAUAAUAAUAUUUUUUAUUAUUAUUAGAUUAUAAAACAUAAAUAAUAUGUUAUACGUGACUAUAUUUUUUAGUGUUUUUUAAAGAAAAUUUUAAAUAAAACAGAUGAUUAAAGUUAGAUACGAAAACUCAUGAUGCGCUUAUU